UGGGGUGUAGCUCAGUGUUGGAGUGCUUGCCUAGCAUAUAUGAGGCACUGGGUUUAAUUCUCAGCACUACAU
This 72-nucleotide transfer RNA is filed under the name Marmota marmota marmota (Alpine marmot). It matches the Rfam family "tRNA". Rfam says of the family: Transfer RNA (tRNA) molecules are approximately 80 nucleotides in length. Their secondary structure includes four short double-helical elements and three loops (D, anti-codon, and T loops). Further hydrogen bonds mediate the characteristic L-shaped molecular structure. tRNAs have two regions of fundamental functional importance: the anti-codon, which is responsible for specific mRNA codon recognition, and the 3' end, to which the tRNAs corresponding amino acid is attached (by aminoacyl-tRNA synthetases). tRNAs cope with the degeneracy of the genetic code in two manners: having more than one tRNA (with a specific anti-codon) for a particular amino acid; and 'wobble' base-pairing, i.e. permitting non-standard base-pairing at the 3rd anti-codon position. RNAcentral also lists the same sequence under 1 other name. The record is from Rfam by way of RNAcentral. Lineage: Eukaryota; Metazoa; Chordata; Mammalia; Rodentia; Sciuridae.